RNAcentral lists this ribosomal RNA (240 nucleotides) under Prevotella sp. RNAcentral describes it as "partial 16S ribosomal RNA". It matches the Rfam family "Bacterial small subunit ribosomal RNA", at positions 1 to 227 of the family's 1533-position model. Lineage: Bacteria; Pseudomonadati; Bacteroidota; Bacteroidia; Bacteroidales; Prevotellaceae. The record is from RNAcentral.
UUUUACAAUGGAGAGUUUGAUCCUGGCUCAGGAUGAACGCUAGCUACAGGCUUAACACAUGCAAGUCGAGGGGAAACGACGGGGAAGCUUGCUUCCCCGGGCGUCGACCGGCGCACGGGUGAGUAACGCGUAUCCAACCUGCCUCUGACUAAGGGAUAACCCGGCGAAAGUCGGACUAAUACCUCAUGGCAUCGUCUGCGGGCAUCCAACGACGAUUAAAGAUUUCAUCGGUCAGAGAUG